AUUGAACGCUGGCGGCAUGCUUUACACAUGCAAGUCGAACGGUAACAGGGUGCUUGCACCGCUGACGAGUGGCGAACGGGUGAGUAAUGCAUCGGAAUGUACCGUGUAAUGGGGGAUAGCUCGGCGAAAGCCGGAUUAAUACCGCAUACGCCCUGAGGGGGAAAGUGGGGGACCGAAAGGCCUCACGUUAUACGAGCAGCCGAUGUCUGAUUAGCUAGUUGGUGAGGUAAAGGCUCACCAAGGCGUCGAUCAGUAGCGGGUCUGAGAGGAUGAUCCGCCACACUGGGACUGAGACACGGCCCAGACUCCUACGGGAGGCAGCAGUGGGGAAUUUUGGACAAAGGGCGCAAGCCUGAUCCAGCCAUGCCGCGUGUCUGAAGAAGGCCUUCGGGUUGUAAAGGACUUUUGUCCGGGAGCAAAUCCUAGUGGUUAAUAACCGCUGGGUCUGAGAGUACCGGAAGAAUAAGCACCGGCUAACUACGUG
Molecule: ribosomal RNA, 484 nt
Filed under: uncultured bacterium
Lineage: Bacteria
Description: partial 16S ribosomal RNA
Rfam family: Bacterial small subunit ribosomal RNA
Source: RNAcentral